RNAcentral lists this ribosomal RNA (316 nucleotides) under uncultured bacterium. RNAcentral describes it as "bacterial SSU rRNA". It matches the Rfam family "Bacterial small subunit ribosomal RNA", at positions 28 to 334 of the family's 1533-position model. The record is from RNAcentral.
GACGAACGCUGGCGGCGUGCCUAACACAUGCAAGUCGAACGGACUUAACUCAUUCUUUUAGAUUGAGAGCGGUUAGUGGCGGACUGGUGAGUAACACGUAAGCAACCUGCCUAUUAGAGGGGAAUAACAGUGAGAAAUCACUGCUAAUACCGCAUAAGCUGUGAGUAUCGCAUGAUACAAGCAGAAAAGGAGCAAUCCGCUGAUAGAUGAGCUUGCGUCUGAUUAGUUAGUUGGUAGGGUAACGGCCUACCAAGACGAUGAUCAGUAGCCGGACUGAGAGGUUGAACGGCCACAUUGGGACUGAGACACGGCCCAG